UAAUCGUGGAUCAGAAUGCCACGGUGAAUACGUUCCCGGGCCUUGUACACACCGCCCGUCACACCAUGGGAGUGGGUUGCAAAAGAAGUAGGUAGCUUAACCUUCGGGAGGGCGCUUACCACUUUGUGAUUCAUGACUGGGGUGAAGUCGUAACAAGGUAACCGUAGGGGAACCUGCGGUUGGAUCACCUCCUUA
This 195-nucleotide ribosomal RNA is filed under the name Escherichia coli. RNAcentral's name for it is "partial 16S ribosomal RNA". It matches the Rfam family "Bacterial small subunit ribosomal RNA", at positions 1339 to 1533 of the family's 1533-position model. RNAcentral also lists the same sequence under 8 other names. The record is from RNAcentral. Lineage: Bacteria; Pseudomonadati; Pseudomonadota; Gammaproteobacteria; Enterobacterales; Enterobacteriaceae.